RNAcentral lists this ribosomal RNA (253 nucleotides) under uncultured bacterium. Its description in RNAcentral is "partial 16S ribosomal RNA". It matches the Rfam family "Bacterial small subunit ribosomal RNA", at positions 524 to 776 of the family's 1533-position model. The record is from RNAcentral.
UACAGAGGGGGCAAGCGUUAUUCGGAAUUAUUGGGCGUAAAGGGCGCGUAGGCGGCUUGGCAAGUGGAUGCUGAAAUCCCUCGGCUUAACCGAGGAACUGCCGUCCAAACUGCUUCGCUUGAGACCGGGAGAGGUGAGUGGAAUUCCCAGUGUAGCGGUGAAAUGCGUAGAUAUUGGGAGGAACACCAGUGGCGAAGGCAGCUCACUGGACCGGUACUGACGCUGAUGCGCGAAAGCGUGGGGAGCAAACGGG